Molecule: small nuclear RNA, 308 nt
Filed under: Vulpes vulpes (red fox)
Lineage: Eukaryota; Metazoa; Chordata; Mammalia; Carnivora; Canidae
Description: 7SK RNA (ENSVVUG00000029576.1)
Rfam family: 7SK RNA
About the family: 7SK was discovered as an abundant small nuclear RNA in the mid-70s but a possible function has only recently been suggested. Two independent studies have found that 7SK RNA binds the CDK9/cyclin T complex (known as elongation factor P-TEFb).
Source: Rfam by way of RNAcentral
GGAUGUGAGGGUGACCUGGCUGUGACAUCUCUCACCCCAUUGAUGGCCAAGGUUGAUUUGGCUGAUCUGGCUAUCCCCUUUCUCCCUUAGGGCUCCAUAUGUGUCCUUCCCAAAGCUGCCCACUCAGUGGAAGAGGGCAACCUUAUCUGAUAAAGGAGGAUUGUUCUUCAAAGGUUAUUUCAGUAACUCCCCUGCUAGAACUUCCAAACAAGCUCUAAGGUCCAGUUGUAGAAGGUGAGGUCAGUCAAGCUUCUAAGAUUGCAGAUACAUCCAAACAAGGCGCUGCAUGGAGCAGUCUGCCUUUCUCA